RNAcentral lists this ribosomal RNA (253 nucleotides) under uncultured bacterium. RNAcentral's name for it is "partial 16S ribosomal RNA". It matches the Rfam family "Bacterial small subunit ribosomal RNA", at positions 524 to 776 of the family's 1533-position model. The record is from RNAcentral.
UACGGAGGGUGCAAACGUUGCUCGGAAUCAUUGGGCGUAAAGCGCACGUAGGUGGCUUGUUAAGUCGGGUGUGAAAUCCCUGGGCUCAACCCAGGAAGUGCACUCGAAACUGGCGAGCUUGAGUACUGAAGAGGGUCGCGGAAUUCCCGGUGUAGAGGUGAAAUUCGUAGAUAUCGGGAGGAACACCGGUGGCGAAGGCGGCGAUCUGGGUCGAUACUGACGCUGAGGUGCGAAAGCGUGGGGAGCAAACAGG